Molecule: ribosomal RNA, 442 nt
Filed under: uncultured bacterium
Lineage: Bacteria
Description: bacterial SSU rRNA
Rfam family: Bacterial small subunit ribosomal RNA
Source: RNAcentral
AACGCGAAGAACCUUACCUACCCUUGACAUGAUAAAGGACCUAGUAGAGAUACUGGGGUGCCGAGAGGAACUUUAUGACAGGUGCUGCAUGGCUGUCGUCAGCUCGUGUUGUGAGAUGUUGGGUUAAGUCCCGUAACGAGCGCAACCCUUGCCUCUAGUUACCAUCGAGUGAAGUUGGGGACUCUAGAGGGACUGCCGGUGACAAACCGGAGGAAGGCGGGGACGACGUCAAGUCAUCAUGGCCCUUACGGGUAGGGCGACACACGUGCUACAAUGGUUCGUACAAAGGGUCGCGAAGGGGUGACCUGGAGCCAAUCCUAGAAAGCGGAUCGUAGUCCGGAUUGGAGUCUGCAACUCGACUCCAUGAAGCUGGAAUCGCUAGUAAUCGCAAAUCAGCAUGUUGCGGUGAAUACGUUCCCGGGCCUUGUACACACCGCUCGUC